Molecule: ribosomal RNA, 489 nt
Filed under: uncultured bacterium
Lineage: Bacteria
Description: partial 16S ribosomal RNA
Rfam family: Bacterial small subunit ribosomal RNA
Source: RNAcentral
AGUGAACGCUGGCGGUAGGCCUAACACAUGCAAGUCGAACGGCAGCACAGUAAGAGCUUGCUCUUACGGGUGGCGAGUGGCGGACGGGUGAGGAAUACAUCGGAAUCUACUUUUUCGUGGGGGAUAACGUAGGGAAACUUACGCUAAUACCGCAUACGACCUACGGGUGAAAGCAGGGGAUCUUCGGACCUUGCGCGAUUGAAUGAGCCGAUGUCGGAUUAGCUAGUUGGCGGGGUAAAGGCCCACCAAGGCGACGAUCCGUAGCUGGUCUGAGAGGAUGAUCAGCCACACUGGAACUGAGACACGGUCCAGACUCCUACGGGAGGCAGCAGUGGGGAAUAUUGGACAAUGGGCGCAAGCCUGAUCCAGCCAUACCGCGUGGGUGAAGAAGGCCUUCGGGUUGUAAAGCCCUUUUGUGAAAGAAAAGCAGCAGGUUAAUACCCCGCUGUUCUGACGGUACCCAAAGAAUAAGCACCGGCUAACUUCGUG